RNAcentral lists this ribosomal RNA (212 nucleotides) under uncultured bacterium. Its description in RNAcentral is "partial 16S ribosomal RNA". It matches the Rfam family "Bacterial small subunit ribosomal RNA", at positions 1289 to 1500 of the family's 1533-position model. The record is from RNAcentral.
CAGUUCGGAUUGUAGUCUGCAACUCGACUACAUGAAGCUGGAAUCGCUAGUAAUCGCGAAUCAGAAUGUCGCGGUGAAUACGUUCCCGGGUCUUGUACACACCGCCCGUCACACCAUGGGAGUUGGUAACGCCCGAAGUCAGUGACCCAACCGAAAGGAGGGAGCUGCCUAAGGCGGGACCGAUAACUGGGGUGAAGUCGUAACAAGGUAAC